GAAAUGCGAUAAGUAGUGUGAAUUGCAGAAUUCAGUGAAUCAUCGAAUCUUUGAACGCACAUUGCGCCCCUUGGUAUUCCAUGGGGCAUGCCUGUUCGAGCGUCAUUUGUACCCUCAAGCUCUGCUUGGUGUUGGGUGUUUGUCCCGUCUCCGCGCGUGGACUCGCCCCAGAGUGAUUGGCAGCCGGCGUACUGGUCCCGGAGCGCAGCACAUGUCGCGCAAACGAGUGCCUUGGUACGGCGGCGUCCAUAAGCCCCUCUCUCACGCUCUUGACCUCGGAUCAGGUAGGGAUACCCGCUGAACUUAAGC
Molecule: unclassified non-coding RNA, 309 nt
Filed under: plant metagenome
Description: partial contains 5.8S ribosomal RNA, internal transcribed spacer 2, and large subunit ribosomal RNA
Rfam family: 5.8S ribosomal RNA (bases 1-105)
Source: RNAcentral